This 806-nucleotide long non-coding RNA is filed under the name Phaseolus vulgaris (common bean). RNAcentral's name for it is "long non-coding RNA (PVUL_LNC003584)". The record is from RNAcentral. Lineage: Eukaryota; Viridiplantae; Streptophyta; Magnoliopsida; Fabales; Fabaceae.
AUCUAUAUAAAGUGGAUAUUCAUAGAGUUUUCUCAACCAAGAAGUCGAAUUUUCAUCAACGAUUAUUUCCAGGUAUCUCUGCAUAUAAAGAGUUUGGGCAUCUAGGCGGCAGCAUGGCAAAGAUGAAGACGAUGACAACGCAAACAUAUACUUUUGUGUGUGUGAUAAAAUCAAUUUAAGGAAGUACCAAAUGUAUUAUAUAGCUUUUGAUUAAUUAGAUUCAUAGCUUUUCUUACAUAUUUCUUAUUCAUUUUUUUCAUUAGUUUAUAUUUGGUUAUUAAAGAUUUCGUUUUCAGAAAAUUGCAGUUUUUUGUGAUGCAUAUAGUGAAUAAUUUGCAGUGUGUUGUUUUCAAAAUCAAGAUAUGUAAACGAUGAUUGUUCUGAUAAAAGAUGUAAAACUGAAUAUUAUGGUGGAUAUUGGCUUUGUUUGUAGGAACAACCAACAAAACGAGAUGAGUUUGUUGGUUGGUUUGGAGCUCUUGCUUCUCUGGAGAAAGUCUCACUGGGCUCAAAGAAACACGGUGCCACUUUCUAUAUGCUUAAGGAAAACUUCUCCAGACAUUUCUUCAAAGAAUGACCUAUUUUAUCUUCAGGAUGAAAUGCAAAUUCAAUUUAGAGGAAUGGAGAGAGCGCUCAUAAGAAGAGCAAAGGAAAAUAGAAACAUUUAAUGAUCAUUUGUAAAUAUAAGUGUGAUUUUAACUUUUCAAUGUAAUACAACAUUUAAUGAUGAUUUGUAAAUAUAAGUGUGAGUUUUGAAUGUAAUAUUAAUUGUUAUUGUUUUUGUUUGUAUAUAUCCAUUACUUUCC